UACGUGCCAGCAGCCGCGGUAAUACGUAGGGGGCGAGCGUUAUCCCGGAAUUAUUGGGCGUAAAGAGUGCGUAGGUGGCUCUUUAAGCGCAGGGUUUAAGGCUACGGCUUAACUGUAGUUCGCCCUGCGAACUGAAGGGCUUGAGUGCAGGAGGGGAAAGCGGAAUUCCUAGUGUAGCGGUGAAAUGCGUAGAUAUUAGGAGGAACACCAGUGGCGAAGGCGGCUUUCUGGACUGAAACUGACACUGAGGCACGAAAGCGUGGGGAGCAAACAGGAUUAGAUACCCUGGUAGUCCACGCCGUAAACGAUGAGCACUAGGUGUCGGGCCGUAAAGGCUCGGUGCCGGAGUUAACGCAAUAAGUGCUCCGCCUGGGGAGUACGCACGCAAGUGUAAAACUCAAAGGAAUUGACGGGGACCCGCACAAGCAGCGGAGCAUGUGGUUUAAUUCGAAGCAACGCGAAGAACCUUACCAGGUCUUGACAUCCCUCUGAAACUCCCGAUAACGACGGAGCCCUCUUCGGAGCAGAGGAGACAGGUGGUGCAUGGUUGUCGUCAGCUCGUGUCGUGAGAUGUUGGGUUAAGUCCCGCAACGAGCGCAACCCUUGCCUUUAGUUGCCAUCAUUAAGUUGGGCACUCUAAAGGGACUGCCGGGGACAACUCGGAGGAAGGUGGGGAUGACGUCAAAUCAUCAUGCCCCUUAUGAUCUGGGCUACACACGUGCUACAAUGGCCGGUACAACAGGAAGCGAAGGAGUGAUCCGGAGCGAAUCCCCAAAGCCGGUCCCAGUUCGGACUGCAGGCUGCAACCCGCCUGCACGAAGUCGGAGUUGCUAGUAAUCGCGGAUCAGAAUGCCGCGGUGAAUGCGUUCCCGGGUCUUGUACACACCGCCCGU
RNAcentral lists this ribosomal RNA (893 nucleotides) under uncultured bacterium. Its description in RNAcentral is "bacterial SSU rRNA". It matches the Rfam family "Bacterial small subunit ribosomal RNA", at positions 502 to 1397 of the family's 1533-position model. The record is from RNAcentral.